GCGGGGACAGCUCAGUUGGGAGAGCGUCAGACUAAAGAUUUGAAGGUUGCGUAUUCGAUUCACGCUCACCGCA
RNAcentral lists this transfer RNA (73 nucleotides) under Physcomitrium patens. Its description in RNAcentral is "tRNA-Phe (AAA) (tRNA-Phe-AAA-1-1)". It matches the Rfam family "tRNA". Rfam says of the family: Transfer RNA (tRNA) molecules are approximately 80 nucleotides in length. Their secondary structure includes four short double-helical elements and three loops (D, anti-codon, and T loops). The record is from Rfam by way of RNAcentral. Lineage: Eukaryota; Viridiplantae; Streptophyta; Bryopsida; Funariales; Funariaceae.